This is a non-coding RNA of Oncorhynchus mykiss (rainbow trout), 490 nucleotides long. Lineage: Eukaryota; Metazoa; Chordata; Actinopteri; Salmoniformes; Salmonidae. The record is from the annotation of a RefSeq genome assembly.
UGGAAGAGAGAGAGAGGAUCUCUACCUCUUGCUGUAACUCACAGUCUCUCUCAGUGUGAUCUGUAUAACCAUGGUACUCUGUCUGAUCAUCUGUCUGGUUCUUGUUGUUUUCUGCUUAGAGUGCACAGCAGACCAUGUUCAACAGCAACCAGGAGGUGUGAUUGCUACAGAAGGAGGACUGGUAACACUGAGUUGCCAAUAUAACACCAGUGCUAAUAAUGCAUAUCUAUAUUGGUUCAAACAAGAAGAAAAUGACUUCCCUAAAUACAUGCUGAGCCGUUAUUCAUUUGGAUCUGGAGACAAUGCUACAGGGUUCAAGGAGAGAUUUGAUGCCCGUCUCGAUGCGGACUCAAAAUCAGUCCCCUUGACGAUCCAGAGGGUGCAGCUGUCUGACUCUGCUGUGUACUACUGUGCCCUGCAGCCCACAGUGAGAGGAAACCUGUGAAGACUCUACAAAAACCUGGAGAAAAAAACUGACAUCCCCUAGACA